RNAcentral lists this ribosomal RNA (410 nucleotides) under Aglaja tricolorata. RNAcentral describes it as "partial 16S ribosomal RNA". It matches the Rfam family "Archaeal large subunit ribosomal RNA", at positions 1920 to 2665 of the family's 2987-position model. The record is from RNAcentral. Lineage: Eukaryota; Metazoa; Mollusca; Gastropoda; Cephalaspidea; Aglajidae.
AGCCUUAGGAAAUGAUAUAAGGUGACGCCUGCUCAAUGAGAAACACUUUAAUAGCCGCGGUACCUUGACCGUGCUAAGGUAGCAUAAUCAGUUGACUUUUAAUUGAAGUCUGGAAUGAAUGGAAUAACGGGAUUAAGCUGUCUCUACCUUUUUAUUAUAAAUUUACUAACCAGGUGAAAAGGCCUGGGAAAGAAAAAAGACGAGAAGACCCUUAGAGUUUAUAAGAAAUUUUGUUGGGGCGACAGGGAAUCUGAACAUUCCUUUUUAAUAUGGGACGGAUUUUUCAUGAAAAGAAAAACUACCUGAGGGAUAACAGCAUUAUCUUUUUUAGGUUUGUGACCUCGAUGUUGGACUAGGAAGCCCAUAGGCUAGCCGCUUAUGCGGGAGGUUCUGUUCGAACUAUUACUCCU